CCAGGAUCCUGCUCUCCUGCCUGGCUGGCCCUUUCCCUCAGUCCCCUGUCCCACUCACCUGCUGGAGAGGGCCUGCAGGGCUAGGGAAUGGUACUGUUUCCUGUUCUGUGGGGCUGGGCGCUCAUGGCUGCUGUGACUACAGAUGCCACUGCAAGCUUCGUGGAACAAAAGCCCAGGUGGGUCCUGGUAGCUCAUGGACGGGCUGAAACCCUGCGCUGCAUCCUGAGAAAUUCCCAGUACCCCUGGAUGAGCUGGUACCAACAAGAUCUCCAGGGGCAACUCGAGGUGCUGGCCACUCUGCGGUAUUCUGGGGAUGAGGAGGUCGUAUCUCAUCCUGGAGCAGAUUACCGGAUCAAACGGGUGAAUGACACCGAGCUGAAGCUACACGUGGCCAAUAUGACCCAAGCUAGAACUCUGUACUGCACCUGCAGCAAAGACACAGUGAGAAACCCUCCUUGGACAACUGAAUAA
Molecule: non-coding RNA, 471 nt
Organism: Equus quagga
Lineage: Eukaryota; Metazoa; Chordata; Mammalia; Perissodactyla; Equidae
Source: the annotation of a RefSeq genome assembly